GUAAAGGAAGGGCAAGAGAGAGGGGAGGGGAGUAGUUAGAGGAGGGGAGGCGGUGGUCUGCGACGCUUUUUAGUCCCCCUUCGGGCAGGGUCUUAGAGUUUUUGGGACGACGACGGGGUCCGCUCGUUACCCCGGCAUCUAGAGGCGGCCUCCCUCGCCUUCCUCCCAGACACCAAGGACCUCGAAGGGCACGACCCUAAGCCGGCCGCUGCCGACGACGACGACCCCUGCUUCACUUUCGAUGGCCAACCGACGAUGACUGGACACUUUCUCUCUUCAAACACUCCGCCGGUCCCACAAACCAAACCAGUUUCUCCUCGAGAGUCACGGGAAUAAAAAGAGGACAUAUGUACCCUACGAACGACACUCGGGGCGACAAACAAGAACCUCUUUUAUCCUGUCACGAGGGUCCUAGACUCAAAACCGGAAACCCGAAUUUUGUUAGAACAGACAAACCAAGCCCCGAACCGAUACCGUCAAAGUCUCUUCCGCCAUGCUGGUACGAGUAGCAGAAGCAGCCCAAACCUGGGCGACAACUUCCUAGAAUGCCUCUUCUUCGACUCGAAAUCUUCUUUGCACCGUAGAGACCGCAGACUCGAUUUCCUACACUCCGUGUUCGAACGAAGCGUCCUCGUCAACAAAUGAUCCCUUAGGGUUUGAUCCCUCCAACGCCUCUGCUUCCGUUCCUCGUACCUCCUCCUUCACUCAUUCGACGUCUUUACGAAUGACCUGUUUCUACUCGUCGAUUUACGUUGCUCUCCGUAGUGGCUUGUAAUGGAGCUACUAAACCUACUAGAAUUUAGUGCUGAUAGUCAUUGAGUUCGAUGUCGUCUUCGGUCACGACGUAGUCGGUACAGCCGAGUCCGCGUCACGAACAGUAACGACUUUCUCGACUUACUCUUCCUAGCGAGCAACUUUCUCGUGCUCGAAGCUCAAUUGUUCGAACCGCUCGUCGAUCCAGAAGAGGUCUUCCUGGAACUCCGUUCCCUCGAAAGUGUCUCCGUUGAGUUCCUACUUCAAAAUUCCUAACUCUGUCUAUAGUACCCACGUCAAAGGUCUCGACCCAGAUCAUUUCUAUUGCUCGAAGACUUCCAAAAUAGACUACAAAGUGGUUCCUUAUAGCUCUUAUAACCGUUCGUAAACUUAUGAUUCCUAUGUCUCUAACGGUCCGACUCUCUACUUUAAUCCUAUAAUAGACGAGUAACCUGUUUGUUUUGUUUCCUUGAUCUCAGUGUUGAUCUCUUCGUCGCGUCUUGGCUGGUCCUUGACUUUUUUUCCCAAGAGUUUGAACUUAAGACGGAAGUUCUUAGUGCUAGAGUUUAGGCUUUUGAAGUCUCCAACCCCCUCUUCUCCCUGUUCGUUGAGUUCCUCGAGUUCCUAGUCUACCGGUACUUCGUCGGGCUGCCGGGAGCGGCGCUGCUUCCGUUCUUCGGGAAGACCCUCUUACUAUGCAAGUUCAAACAGCGGCCGUACAGCUACGACCAGCACUACCAGGAGCGUUUCGCGACUCUUGUCGCAGUAGAACACAUCUCUUCAAUACAAUCCACUCGUUGAUCGAGCGAGACAUCAAAAUUCUUCGGUCAGUACAUGACCUCAUCGCAACAUUUUAAUCCAAAUCCGGACCUGUACGACGUACCAGUCUACAAGUCUCUGGUCUUAAGCAGCUGCAGGUCCAAAUCAGGAGAUCUGGCAUCGUCACAUCGAGUCGACGAUCAAGUACACACCAUCAAUUGACAUUAGGACAUGAAUAGGAUACUACAAAUCAUGAUGAGAAAUCGUAGAUGAUAAGGAGAUUAAAUUCUCCAAAUCAUGAGAAGUCGUAGAUGGUGAAGGAG
RNAcentral lists this ribosomal RNA (1835 nucleotides) under Triticum aestivum (bread wheat). RNAcentral's name for it is "partial small subunit ribosomal RNA". Lineage: Eukaryota; Viridiplantae; Streptophyta; Magnoliopsida; Poales; Poaceae. The record is from RNAcentral.